GACGAACGCUGGCGGCGUGCUUAACACAUGCAAGUCGAACGGAAAGGCCUCUUUCGGGGGGUACUCGAGUGGCGAACGGGUGAGUAACACGUGAGUAACCUGCCCUUGACUUUGGGAUAACUUCAGGAAACUGGGGCUAAUACCGGAUAGGAGCUCCUGCUGCAUGGUGGGGGUUGGAAAGUUUCGGCGGUUGGGGAUGGACUCGCGGCUUAUCAGCUUGUUGGUGGGGUAGUGGCUUACCAAGGCUUUGACGGGUAGCCGGCCUGAGAGGGUGACCGGCCACAUUGGGACUGAGAUACGGCCCAGACUCCUACGGGAGGCAGCAGUGGGGAAUAUUGCACAAUGGGUGGAAGCCUGAAGCAGCAACGCCGUGUGCGGGAUGACGGCCUUCGGGUUGUAAACCGCUUUCGCUCAUGACGAAGCUUUGUGUGACGGUAGUGGGUAAAGAAGCACCGGCUAACUACGUG
RNAcentral lists this ribosomal RNA (467 nucleotides) under uncultured bacterium. Its description in RNAcentral is "partial 16S ribosomal RNA". It matches the Rfam family "Bacterial small subunit ribosomal RNA", at positions 28 to 507 of the family's 1533-position model. The record is from RNAcentral.